UGGCCGUAAACGAUGUGGACUUGGUGUUGGAAUGGCUCCGAGCUGCUCCAGUGCCGAAGGGAAACCGUGAAACGUGCCGCCUGGGAAGUACGGUCGCAAGGCUGAAACUUAAAGGAAUUGGCGGGGGAGCACCACAACAGGUGGAGCCUGCGGUUUAAUUGGACUCAACGCCGGGAAGCUCACCGGAUAGGACAGCAGAAUGAUUGCCGGGCUGAAGACCCUGCAUGACUAGCUGAGAGGUGGUGCAUGGCGUCAGUGACU
RNAcentral lists this ribosomal RNA (261 nucleotides) under uncultured archaeon. Its description in RNAcentral is "partial 16S ribosomal RNA". It matches the Rfam family "Archaeal small subunit ribosomal RNA", at positions 748 to 1008 of the family's 1478-position model. The record is from RNAcentral.